AACGCACGAGACCUGCGGACCUGCGGAGGGAUCAUUGACAAAUCUUUAAAAUAUUUGACAUUGGUUCAGGGUAAAACUUGUACCUAAUGUUAAUAUAUUUACCCGGAGCCGGUUUGGCUCGGUCAAUUUUGUAAGGAUCUUCCUUACGAAAUUGUCAAUUGAGCUAUUGAAGUGAAAUAUAUUCAAUAGCACAUAAACUCGAUUGUAUUUUGUUUGACAGUGUAUUAUUUAAUUGUAUUU
RNAcentral lists this unclassified non-coding RNA (240 nucleotides) under soil metagenome. RNAcentral's name for it is "partial contains 5.8S ribosomal RNA, internal transcribed spacer 2, and large subunit ribosomal RNA". The record is from RNAcentral.